Molecule: ribosomal RNA, 423 nt
Filed under: uncultured bacterium
Lineage: Bacteria
Description: SSU rRNA
Rfam family: Bacterial small subunit ribosomal RNA
Source: RNAcentral
GCAUGGGGGAACCCUGAUGCAGCGACGCCGCGUGAAGGAAGAAGUAUCUCGGUAUGUAAACUUCUAUCAGCAGGGNAAGAAUUAGGACGGUACCUGACUAAGAAGCCCCGGCUAACUACGUGCCAGCAGCCGCGGUAAUACGUAGGGGGCAAGCGUUAUCCGGAUUUACUGGGUGUAAAGGGAGCGUAGACGGAUGGACAAGUCUGAUGUGAAAGGCUGGGGCUCAACCCCGGGACUGCAUUGGAAACUGCCCGUCUUGAGUGCCGGAGAGGUAAGCGGAAUUCCUAGUGUAGCGGUGAAAUGCGUAGAUAUUAGGAGGAACACCAGUGGCGAAGGCGGCUUACUGGACGGUAACUGACGUUGAGGCUCGAAAGCGUGGGGAGCAAACAGGAUUAGAUACCCUGGUAGUCCAAGGGCGAAUUC